This 255-nucleotide long non-coding RNA is filed under the name Elaeis guineensis (African oil palm). RNAcentral describes it as "long non-coding RNA (EGUI_LNC044791)". The record is from RNAcentral. Lineage: Eukaryota; Viridiplantae; Streptophyta; Magnoliopsida; Arecales; Arecaceae.
UGGGCAGAUGAGUCUCGAAUUUACGGUGUGAAGACACUAAGGUGAAGGUACAGAUGAUUGUUAGAAAAUAACUUACAUUGAGCGUGACCAACAUGAGAACCACAUGGAUGUCUACUCACUCGUCACUAGUCUUCUUGAUGCUACAGUGAUGUAAGUGAUCCUUUGACCUGUGGUGCCAUUGGCUAUUCACAAUGAGGCUACUAGAUUUGACUACACGUUCUCUUGGUUCCUAAUCAUUCAGAUCUUUGCUGUGUA